Molecule: long non-coding RNA, 224 nt
Filed under: Malus domestica (apple)
Lineage: Eukaryota; Viridiplantae; Streptophyta; Magnoliopsida; Rosales; Rosaceae
Description: long non-coding RNA (MDOM_LNC001604)
Source: RNAcentral
UCCACUGCAUCUCUGUCUCUAUCUCUUGGCGAAACUGGAAGGCUAACUUCACUUGCUUUUCUUGGACAGCCUAGUCGUGCCCAUCACUCCUCCUUUUUCUUUUUCUUUUUCUCUUUUCCUUUUGCACCUCGCUCUGUCUCUCCACCUCCCUGCAAACUUGCUUUUCCUUUUUCUUUUCCUAGCGCCAUUCUUUCUGUCUCUCAAUCUCUUCGGUAGCCCGACCC